AAUGCAAAUUGCACUCCCUAAUAUUCCAGGGAGUAUGCAUGUUUGAGGGUCGUUAGAAUAAAAAUCAAGGCAUCGCUCUUUUUUUAAGGGUGAUCACGUUAGAAUUGAGCCAUUUUUCAAAUGUCAAUUCAUGUCAAAGUGGCUGACAUACUAUCUCAUGUAGUACGUUUGACCUGGCGUCGUCAGGAUCAUUCGUAUACGAUACUCAACUUUUGAUCUCAAAUCAAGUAAGAAUACCCGCUGAACUUAA
Molecule: unclassified non-coding RNA, 250 nt
Filed under: uncultured Glomeraceae
Lineage: Eukaryota; Fungi; Glomeromycota; Glomeromycetes; Glomerales; Glomeraceae
Description: sequence contains ITS2
Source: RNAcentral